Molecule: ribosomal RNA, 843 nt
Filed under: uncultured bacterium
Lineage: Bacteria
Description: bacterial SSU rRNA
Rfam family: Bacterial small subunit ribosomal RNA
Source: RNAcentral
AGUGGCGACCGGGUGAGUAACACGUGACCAACCUGCCCUCGAGUGGGGAAUAACUCCGGGAAACCGGGGCUAAUACCGCAUAACAUCCUUGAGUCGGAAGAUUUGGGGAUCAAAGGAGCAAUUCGCUUGAGGAGGGGGUCGCGGCUGAUUAGCUAGUUGGUGAGGUAACGGCCCACCAAGGCAAAGAUCGGUAUCCGGCCUGAGAGGGCGCACGGACACACUGGAACUGAAACACGGUCCAGACUCCUACGGGAGGCAGCAGUGGGGAAUUUUGCGCAAUGGGGGAAACCCUGACGCAGCAACGCCGCGUGGAGGAUGAAGUCCCUUGGGACGUAAACUCCUUUCGACCGGGACGAUAAUGACGGUACCGGUGGAAGAAGCACCGGCUAACUCUGUGCCAGCAGCCGCGGUAAUACAGAGGGUGCGAGCGUUGUUCGGAAUUAUUGGGCGUAAAGGGCGCGUAGGCGGUGCGGUAAGUCACCUGUGAAAUCUCCCGGCUCAACUGGGAGCCUGCAGGCGAAACUGCCGUGCUUGAGUGUGAGAGAGGCUCGUGGAAUUGCAGGUGUAGCGGUGAAAUGCGUAGAUAUCUGCAGGAACACCCGUGGCGAAAGCGGCGAGCUGGAUCACUACUGACGCUGAGGAACGAAAGCUAGGGGAGCAAACAGGAUUAGAUACCCUGGUAGUCCUAGCCCUAAACGAUCAGGACUUGGGGUGCCGCCCGUUCGGGCGUCGUCCCGGAGCUAACGCGUUAAGUCCUGCACCUGGGGAGUACGGCCGCAAGACUGAAACUCAAAGGAAUUGACGGGGGCCCGCACAAGCGGUGGAGCAUGUGGUUCAAUUCGA